GUGUUGUAAGAAAGGAGAGAAGGUUAGCACUCCCCUUGAUAAGGACGGAAGAGACCCUUGUGGUCUUACAAACACAUUAGGCCAUGCCCUCUACUUAGGGGCAUACCCAAUUUUUUU
RNAcentral lists this non-coding RNA (117 nucleotides) under Capitella teleta. Lineage: Eukaryota; Metazoa; Annelida; Polychaeta; Capitellidae. The record is from RNAcentral.